UCGUCAGCUCGUGCCGUGAGGUGUCGGAUUAAGUGCCAUAACGAGCGCAACCCCUGGGAUUAGUUGCCAUCACGUAAAGCUGGGCACUUUGGUUGGACUGCCACUGUAAGUUGUGAGGAAGGUGGGGAUGACGUCAAAUCAGCACGGCCCUUACGUCCGGGGCUACACACGUGUUACAAUGGGAGGUACAGAGAGUUGGUCUUGCGCAAGCCGGAUCUAAUCCUAAAAGCCUUCCUCAGUUCGGAUCGGGGUGUGCAACCCGACCCCAUGAAGCUGGAUUCGCUAGUAAUCGCGCAUCAGCCAUGGCGCGGUGAAUACGUUCCCGGGCCUUGUACACACCGCCCGUCAAGCCAUGAAAGCCGGGGGCGCUUGAAGUCCGUGACCGCAAGGAUCGCCCUAGAGCGAAACUGGUAAUUGGGGCUACGUCGUACCAAGGUAACCGUA
Molecule: ribosomal RNA, 444 nt
Filed under: uncultured bacterium
Lineage: Bacteria
Description: bacterial SSU rRNA
Rfam family: Bacterial small subunit ribosomal RNA
Source: RNAcentral